UGUAUGUAAAUACACAAGUGCACAUCUCCUCCAUGCAUGUAGAUGGAACUCUACAUGAUCGUAUCGAUUUUCAUGGCAGCAAUGUAAGUAGCCUUAUUGUUGGCAACAAGCAGUGCACAAUUCUGCUGCAUGCAUUCGGGGAAGCAGGUUUGUGUGGUGGAUAGUAUUACACGUAGGCAGUGUUCGAGUAGACGGAGUCGUCGUGGUUGGGCAUGUGGUAGCGGUUGGUGAACCAGGUGGUGUCCGCGGUGACCUUGUUGCCGUCGUGGUUGCGGUACCAGGCGUAGUGUGCGUGCGUGUGGUUCUUGAUGUCCAGCACGGCGUGGCCGUAGCUGUACUCCCG
RNAcentral lists this long non-coding RNA (343 nucleotides) under Setaria viridis. RNAcentral's name for it is "long non-coding RNA (SVIR_LNC003818)". Lineage: Eukaryota; Viridiplantae; Streptophyta; Magnoliopsida; Poales; Poaceae. The record is from RNAcentral.